Sinocyclocheilus rhinocerous is the source of this 354-nucleotide long non-coding RNA. RefSeq lists it as uncharacterized. The transcript is spliced from 3 exons. The record is from RefSeq and is a predicted model, not a curated record. NCBI's taxonomy places the organism in Eukaryota, Metazoa, Chordata, Actinopteri, Cypriniformes, Cyprinidae.
AUCUGUGUUUUUGAUUGGUAGGAAUUCUUACGCAAUAUACCGGGCAGCCUAUUGUGUGAGGAGCUAUAUGAGCAAUGGCUCCAAGCAGUGGAGCAGAAUGGUGAAAGAAAUGGACAAAUGAUGGAGAGAAACCUGCUACAGAAAGUUCAGAGGCUUGUUCAGCUUUUAUCUAAAGAAAAUCUCCUGCUGCUGAGACACAUGAUAGCGAUGCUGCACCACAUACAACUCAAUGCUGAGCACAACCAGAUGACCUCUUUUAACCUGGCUGUGUGUAUAGCACCUAGCUGUCUGUGGAAUUGCAAACUAUCGCUAUCGCAAUCUCAUGAAAAAGACGCCAAAAAGGUGUGUGACCUU